GACGAACGCUGGCGGCGUGCUUAACACAUGCAAGUCGAACGGAAAGGCCCUGCUUUUGUGGGGUGCUCGAGUGGCGAACGGGUGAGUAACACGUGAGUAACCUGCCCUUGACUUUGGGAUAACUUCAGGAAACUGGGGCUAAUACCGGAUAGGAGCUCCCGCUGCAUGGUGGGGGUUGGAAAGUUUCGGCGGUUGGGGAUGGACUCGCGGCUUAUCAGCUUGUUGGUGGGGUAGUGGCUUACCAAGGCUUUGACGGGUAGCCGGCCUGAGAGGGUGACCGGCCACAUUGGGACUGAGAUACGGCCCAGACUCCUACGGGAGGCAGCAGUGGGGAAUAUUGCACAAUGGGCGGAAGCCUGAUGCAGCAACGCCGCGUGCGGGAUGACGGCCUUCGGGUUGUAAACCGCUUUCGCCUGUGACGAAGCGUGAGUGACGGUAAUGGGUAAAGAAGCACCGGCUAACUACGU
Molecule: ribosomal RNA, 467 nt
Filed under: uncultured bacterium
Lineage: Bacteria
Description: partial 16S ribosomal RNA
Rfam family: Bacterial small subunit ribosomal RNA
Source: RNAcentral